Molecule: ribosomal RNA, 404 nt
Filed under: Brucella melitensis
Lineage: Bacteria; Pseudomonadati; Pseudomonadota; Alphaproteobacteria; Hyphomicrobiales; Brucellaceae
Also listed under: 2 other names
Description: partial 16S ribosomal RNA
Rfam family: Bacterial small subunit ribosomal RNA
Source: RNAcentral
UGGGGAAUAUUGGACAAUGGGCGCAAGCCUGAUCCAGCCAUGCCGCGUGAGUGAUGAAGGCCCUAGGGUUGUAAAGCUCUUUCACCGGUGAAGAUAAUGACGGUAACCGGAGAAGAAGCCCCGGCUAACUUCGUGCCAGCAGCCGCGGUAAUACGAAGGGGGCUAGCGUUGUUCGGAAUUACUGGGCGUAAAGCGCACGUAGGCGGACUUUUAAGUCAGGGGUGAAAUCCCGGGGCUCAACCCCGGAACUGCCUUUGAUACUGGAAGUCUUGAGUAUGGUAGAGGUGAGUGGAAUUCCGAGUGUAGAGGUGAAAUUCGUAGAUAUUCGGAGGAACACCAGUGGCGAAGGCGGCUCACUGGACCAUUACUGACGCUGAGGUGCGAAAGCGUGGGGAGCAAACAGG